UGCUGAUCGGGUGAGAAGCAAAGCUGGAGUUUUUUUUUUUUAAUAAAUUUGCGAGAAAAAAGAAAAAACCUGCUGGAAGUUACGGCCACAAAGGAUCAUGUGCACUGCAUCCUCUUAUUGCACUGGGCCUUCAACAAAGACGUCCAGCGGGAGCUCCGGCAAAUUACACAAGAUUUGGUUUUUGAUCAGCAAAUCUUCAGAAGGGGGCUUCUUCAAAGAAAUAACUUCCCACGUCUCUUCUGAGGCCCGAACAAAAACUCCUCCUAAGUGAAUGGCUUCUGCUCACAGCUUGUGGCCGCAGCUGGCAGCAUUGUUGGCCACUCUCGUCCUCCGACGGACGGGGCGAGGAUGAAGGGCGGCGGAGGUGGUCGACGCAACAGAAUGAUCUCGCCUCAGGAGGGAAAAUACGAGCUGAAAGCUUGGAUGAAUCAUCAUGUUGCCUUCCCCUAAAAAACAUUAGUCUGUCUGGCAGCCUGUCAUGUAUAUAAAUAUAUGUGCACAUCUAAAUGUUUUUUGUACCAGCAAAGCACAUCAGCACAGCCAUUACUUCAAAGUAUAAAUGGCCCGAAGUCUCGUCGGUAGAACGAAGUCACUUGUAUUUGGCUGAAUCCCAAUGGCCACCCUCUGGAAUUCUGAUCGUUGAUGUUUUCAGCAUCGUCACUGAUUGAACCCUCUCGAGAAGUCGCUCGAAGUGCGUAUGACUCCGGGUGAUUCCCAAAGGCGUGCUGCAGUUUCCCCAACCAGAGCGGUUCAGCCUUUUUCUUUACAGAGGUGAAUAAUGUGUGUUUCCAUGUUUAGUUUCUCCUAUUUUAUGAUUCAUACUACGAGUGCAUGAAAUGUUGAAUGAAGAGCCCAUCAAGGCUCCAUUAAUUGUUAAAGGCACAUUUUUAUAAUUCUUUAUUCUGAAAAUUAUAGUUCCUUGUUUGCUCACAUGAAGUUUCUCCAUCUGAAGUAACGUGAGAGCCCGAUUGUUUAAUAAGUAUUUUAUUUACGCAGUUUCAAAUUGUCAACGUUGUCACAUUGUUGAUUGAUUGAGUCACUAUGAUCCAUAGUGAUGCUGCUAAACUCAGCGUACACAUUGAGAAUUCCCCACUUCGCCCUGAUCGUCUGGGUCCGUCGUAACUCUGCCCUGAAGGGUAGUUGAGUUGUUUCGGAAAUACUUGGGUUUCCUUGGGUUUGAGUACAAGUUGUCGAUCUUUAAACAGCAAGAUAAAACACUGCCCAAAGGGGGAAAAACAUAUUGCUCCAUCCUCCGUAUGUUUUAGUUUUUAUUGCUUUUUUUGAGGUGAAAAGUGUUCUCCAGCUCAUUUCGUUCAACCUCAAUCAUCAUGUUCUUCUCCUUCCAACGGAAAACGUAUUAUAUUUGUGACAACUAAAGCCCCAUUUUGUAACAAUCCUCGCUUGGUUAACAAAUGAUCAGAGAUACUUUGGUCAAGGUACCCGUCACCUGGAACUGACCACACAAGCCCGGCCUGUUGGGCUGCUAUUCCUUUACCAUUCAAGACAAGAGGGGUAUUGAUCCAGAAGACUCUCUUAAGCGCUGUAGUUUGUCCUCUCAGGGUGCAGCUGACGGCUUGGAAUGGAGAAGUAAACAGGCACUUGGUAAAUAAAACACCUAGGUCAACAUAGCCAUUUCACCCAGGUUACUCAGUGUGUGUGUGUGUGUGUGUGUGUGUUAGUGGGCAAACCUGUAACUUGGUAACCACACUCAGCGUGGUCAUUCAGCGGUCAGAAAGGUUGCUGAAGGUUGCAGCCAUUGUUUCAAUCAGAUGUUGUAUUGAUAUAAAUCUUAAUUAAAUGCUUGGUAGAGUUGUGUACAUUUUAUUUGCAGACAUGCAUUUGAGAGGUUGGGGGUUAAACUAAGAUCCUGACUGUGAUUUUUGCUUUUGCUCGUGAGCAAAAAAGUACUUCCCAACCAAAGCCAGCAAAGAUCAGAGGUGAGGGUCAGGGGUCAGAGAGGCGUGGCCUCAGUCCCAGAGACGCCCCCAGGUUUACACAAGUGUAAAAAGAGUCCAUUCAGAUGGGCUGCAUGGGCAGAGUUUCACAAAGGUCCACUGUGUGGGGCCUAUACACCCCCCCCCCCAUCCACACACACACACACACACCUCCUCCUCCAAGCGCCAUGCCUACACAGGACGCAGACAAUGGGGAGUCUGGUCAGCAGCGCCACAUGCAUGUUGACCUGAAAUACUUUCCUGCAUUACAGCAGAAUGAAACUACCGAUUUC
This is a long non-coding RNA of Gasterosteus aculeatus aculeatus (three-spined stickleback), 2227 nucleotides long. Lineage: Eukaryota; Metazoa; Chordata; Actinopteri; Perciformes; Gasterosteidae. The record is from Ensembl.